Molecule: long non-coding RNA, 165 nt
Organism: Etheostoma spectabile (orangethroat darter)
Lineage: Eukaryota; Metazoa; Chordata; Actinopteri; Perciformes; Percidae
Exons: 3
Source: RefSeq, a predicted model, not a curated record
UCAGCCUGCAUUAAAAUACACCAGGUGCAUUGCUGUUCAUUUAAGUAUUGGUAUUUUAAAUUGUAACCAUGUUUUCUAAUUAUUCAUGUGACAGUCAUUGUUACUGUUAUAUUGCUGUAUGAAUACUGCUGUUCAUAUUUUUGUUAGACAUGUAAUGAAUGUAUU